RNAcentral lists this ribosomal RNA (578 nucleotides) under Cophyla phyllodactyla (whistling treefrog). RNAcentral's name for it is "partial 16S ribosomal RNA". The stretch from base 1 to 392 matches the Rfam family "Bacterial large subunit ribosomal RNA", at positions 767 to 1300 of the family's 2925-position model. Lineage: Eukaryota; Metazoa; Chordata; Amphibia; Anura; Microhylidae. The record is from RNAcentral.
UUAUUGGGCCAACCCUUCUCUGUAGCAAAAGAGUGGGAAGAUUUUAAAGUAGAGGUGAUAUACCUAUCGAGCCUAGAGAUAGCUGGUUAUUCAAGAAAAGGAUUUCAGUCCACCUUUAAGUUUUUAUAAUAAAUAAAUUCCCAUAUAAUAAACGCAUAAAUACUAAAUAAACUUAAAAGCCACUCAAAUAAGGUACAGCCUAUUUGAAUUAGGAAACAGCCUCCAAUGUUGGGUAAUGACCCCCCCCCACCCAUGACCAAGUCGGCCUAAAAGCAGCCACCUUUCAAAAAGCGUCCAAGCUUUAUCAUAAACUAUUAUUAAUUCCACAACCAACACAUAACCCUCAACUGCUACUGAAUAAUCCCAUAAAUGUAUGAGAGCCAUCAUGCUAGAACUAGUAACAAGAAAAGAACCUCUCCAAAAAUGUAAACGCAAGCCAUAAUGAACCAUCACCGGCACCCACCGCCCAAGCUUAUAGUAUCAACACUCAAGAAAACCGUACUUUAAACAGCGUUAACCUUACACUAGAACAUUUCUGAGAAAGAUUAAAAGAGACGGAAGGAACUCGGCAAACAUUA